UGUCAUAGUAUAGUAAGGUGUCAAAAAUGGUCAAAAAAUGUGAAAAAAUGUCAUAGUAUAGUAAGGUGUCAAAAAUGGUCAAAAAAUGUGAAAAAAUGUCAUAGUAUAGUAAGGUGUCAAAAAUGGUCAAAAAAUGUCAUAGUAUAGUAAGGUGUCAAAAAUGGUCAAAAAAUGUGAAAAAAUGUCAUAGUAUAGUAAGGUGUCAAAAAUGGUCAAAAAAUGUCAUAGUAUAGUAAGGUGUCAAAAAUGGUCAAAAAAUGUCAUAGUAUAGUAAGGUGUCAAAAAUGGUCAAAAAAUGUCAUAGUAUAGUAAGGUGUCAAAAAUGGUCAAAAAAUGUGAAAAAAUGUCAUAGUAUAGUAAGGUGUCAAAAAUGGUCAAAAAAUGUGAAAAAAUGUCAUAGUAUAGUAAGGGGUCAAAAAUGGUCAAAAAAUGUCAUAGUAUAGUAAAAGGUCAAAAACCACCAAAAAAUGUCAUAGUAUAGUAAGGGGUCAAAAAUGGUCAAAAAAUGUCAUAGUAUAGUAAGGGGUCAAAAACCACCAAAAAAUGUCAUAGUAUAGUAAGACCUCAAAAAAUGUG
This is a long non-coding RNA of Lates calcarifer (barramundi perch), 576 nucleotides long. RefSeq lists it as uncharacterized. NCBI's taxonomy places the organism in Eukaryota, Metazoa, Chordata, Actinopteri, Centropomidae. The transcript is spliced from 4 exons. The record is from RefSeq and is a predicted model, not a curated record.